AUUGAACGCUGGCGGCAGGCCUAACACAUGCAAGUCGAGCGGAUGAAGGGAGCUUGCUCCUGGAUUCAGCGGCGGACGGGUGAGUAAUGCCUAGGAAUCUGCCUGGUAGUGGGGGAUAACGUCCGGAAACGGGCGCUAAUACCGCAUACGUCCUUAGGGAGAAAGUGGGGGAUCUUCGGACCUCACGCUAUCAGAUGAGCCUAGGUCGGAUUAGCUAGUUGGUGGGGUAAAGGCCUACCAAGGCGACUAUCCGUAACUGGUCUGAGAGGAUGAUCAGUCACACUGGAACUGAGACACGGUCCAGACUCCUACGGGAGGCAGCAGUGGGGAAUAUUGGACAAUGGGCGAAAGCCUGAUCCAGCCAUGCCGCGUGUGUGAAGAAGGUCUUCGGAUUGUAAAGCACUUUAAGUUGGGAGGAAGGGCAGUAAGUUAAUACCUUGCUGUUUUGACGUUACCAACAGAAUAAGCACCGGCUAACUUCGUG
Molecule: ribosomal RNA, 484 nt
Filed under: uncultured bacterium
Lineage: Bacteria
Description: partial 16S ribosomal RNA
Rfam family: Bacterial small subunit ribosomal RNA
Source: RNAcentral